RNAcentral lists this ribosomal RNA (497 nucleotides) under uncultured bacterium. RNAcentral's name for it is "partial 16S ribosomal RNA". It matches the Rfam family "Bacterial small subunit ribosomal RNA", at positions 28 to 507 of the family's 1533-position model. The record is from RNAcentral.
GACGAACGCUGGCGGCGUGCCUAAUACAUGCAAGUUGAGCGAUGAAGAUUGGUGCUUGCACCAAUUUGAAGAGCAGCGAACGGGUGAGUAACGCGUGGGGAAUCUGCCUUUGAGCGGGGGACAACAUUUGGAAACGAAUGCUAAUACCGCAUAACAACUUUAAACAUAAGUUUUAAGUUUGAAAGAUGCAAUUGCAUCACUCAAAGAUGAUCCCGCGUUGUAUUAGCUAGUUGGUGAGGUAAAGGCUCACCAAGGCGAUGAUACAUAGCCGACCUGAGAGGGUGAUCGGCCACAUUGGGACUGAGACACGGCCCAAACUCCUACGGGAGGCAGCAGUAGGGAAUCUUCGGCAAUGGACGAAAGUCUGACCGAGCAACGCCGCGUGAGUGAAGAAGGUUUUCGGAUCGUAAAACCCUGUUGGUAGAGAAGAACGUUGGUGAGAGUGGAAAGCUCAUCAAGUGACGGUAACUACCCAGAAAGGGACGGCUAACUACGUG